This 253-nucleotide ribosomal RNA is filed under the name uncultured bacterium. Its description in RNAcentral is "partial 16S ribosomal RNA". It matches the Rfam family "Bacterial small subunit ribosomal RNA", at positions 524 to 776 of the family's 1533-position model. The record is from RNAcentral.
GACAGAGGGGGCAAGCGUUGCUCGGAAUCAUUGGGCGUAAAGCGCGUGUAGGCGGUCCGGUAAGUCCGCUGUGAAAGUCGGGGGCUCAACCCUCGGAUGCCGGUGGAUACUGUCGGGCUUGAGUACGGAAGAGGCGAGUGGAAUUCCUGGUGUAGCGGUGAAAUGCGCAGAUAUCAGGAGGAACACCAAUUGCGAAGGCAGCUCGCUGGGACGUUACUGACGCUGAGACGCGAAAGCGUGGGGAGCAAACAGG